Molecule: long non-coding RNA, 5321 nt
Organism: Pipra filicauda (Wire-tailed manakin)
Lineage: Eukaryota; Metazoa; Chordata; Aves; Passeriformes; Pipridae
Exons: 3
Source: RefSeq, a predicted model, not a curated record
CCCCUCAGUGCCCCCAUUUCCCCCCACGUGCCCUCAGAGCAGCCCCACGUGAGGGCAAAUCUCCAGUGGGAGCUGACCCACUCUCACAACAAACCCAGCCUCACUUUACAAACACCUUAUGCUCUGUCUAGACAGACCUCCCCAGCCCAAAACAGGUUUAGAAGACUGGUGCUCACAUACUUCCAUGGAUUUCCAUACUGGUUCCCAACCUGAGAAGCAGGUCGUAUAAGCCCUGGUGACGUGUGUGGCAGCAGAGCUACUUGUACCCAAACUGGUUGCUUGGGGCUGUUUUCAUCGCCUUUGUGCCGGAAUGUCCUCGAAGGGCAGCCUCAACGGGAGGAGAGGCUGGAGAAGGGCACUGAGACAAUCCCCAGGAUGUGUUGAUGAGCUCCAUAAGCCGAGGUGGAUUCAUCACCAAUAAUGUAUUGGUUUAAAGGAGAUCCAUAAUGACAUCUUCUUUUGCAAAGAGCUUUUCCAUGCAACUGCGAGGACCAGAUACUCCUCUUAAAUGACAAGAGCUGAGAAUCUUGUGCGCUUGCAUGACCACAACGAUUUUAAAAACUCCUUUAACUAAACCACUGCCCAGGUUUUACGGAAGACGCGCGAGGCUGAUGUACGUGCGGGCUGCUGACACCCAGCGCAGAACACGCGGGCUCCAAAGCACCUCAAAUUAUCUCCUGCUGGCUUUUGAAGAUACGUCUCCACCCUCCAUUCAGAAUGACAACUUUUGGCAACAACAAGAAAACAGAAAUGACAGAUGGUAACAAAAUCUGGUACACAAACAUGACAGUAGGCAGUAUAAUGAACAUUUCACCCACUCCUUCAUUUAUGCUAAUCGGUGCUUUUGAGCAACCGGAAUUGUUCUGCCAGACAGCCGCGGAUCUGAAGCACAGCAGAGCAAAUCUCAGAGGGCCACCAACCUGAAGCCAGGGUAAAACCUACCAAGUGACUCGUUGUGAAUUGAAUUAAAGUACCACUAAACUCCAGCCUGCUCUGGCGGACACUGAAAAAUCCCCCCGCUCCCAAAAAGCACAUUGACCUCUCCUCCUGCCUGAAACUCCUGCCCGGAAAACACCACGUCCACAAAAUAGAGGCAGUCCGGUCUUCCUGCUACCCAAAGCUCCACCAAAACUCAGAGGAACCAUCAAAACUGAGAACUAGCAGCCUUGCAGUCGGGUUUUUUUCAAGGGUUUGCACAGACACAGAGGCUUCUCAUCCCCUACCACCCAUACUCCCCUCUUCAUUUUCCUGGUGUCAGAGUUAGGAAGCCACACAUGAUGUUCCUUCUCUCCAAGACCUGGUGAACUGGCUGGUAGGUCGUCUGGUGAGAAGGGAUCUGUCCUGGGAUGCUGUGAAAAGGUGGGAGCUUCUGCCUGUUGUUUGCCACGGAAAAGGGAAGAUGUCUGCAUUCAGCUGCUGCUGAUACCAGGAACACCAGCUCAAACCCAGGAACACCAGCUCAAACCCAGGAACAUCAGCUCAAACCCAGGAACACCAGCUCAAACCCAGGAACAUCAGCUCAAACCCAGGAACACCAGCUCAAACCCAGGAACAUCAGCUUGGGACGGUGCUGCUCCAAUGCUGCUGUGGCUGCAGGAGGCUUCACCCCGUGUCCUUGGCAGCCCAGGUGUGUUCACAGGGGUCCCCCAGCCUGAGGUCCCCGGGUGCCCUGGUGCUGCCCAGCCACGGACACCCAGCUCUGGCACGGGAUGCGUGGGGCACAGGGGCCGGGAUGUGGUGCUGGGUGGUCUCCGUGGCUUUGCUGCAGCUCCUGGGGCCAGAACCCCAACAGCCUCCAGCCCUGCCGGGGCCGUCCCCACAUCCCGGCUCGCUGGACACACUCAAAGUUCACGGUGCUAUAAAUACCCGGAGCAGGGCGCCAGUGCUCCCGGCCGGGUGGGGGGGCUGAGAAAACCCGAAGGGGUUUCGUUGCAAUUAACCCUGUGGGUGCACAAGUCCUCUCUGUGCGGUUUGAGAAAGAGGAAUCCUCCGAUUCAAAAUGUUUCUAAAGCCAGAAGAGUGCAGCAAACUCCUUCUGUGGGUUGAUUCCUGCUGCAAACAGCCCUGGGAUAGGUACUGGGAUUGGAGGAGCGCAGGAGGCUGCAGGACAGCACAGGGAAUGGGUGGUUUGUGGCCAGGAACAUCCACAGUGUGACCCCCCAGCUUGGGCAGAUCCUCGUGCUGGGGACACGGUGAUGUGGGGCCAGCAUGGCUUGUGUUGUCCCCUAAAGCAGAGGCUGCCUGUGCACCUCUCACUGCCCUCAGAGCCCAGGCUGGUGCUGCACAGCCCCACACCCUGCCCUGUACGGCCCCAUACACUACAGUCCUUUACCCCCGAGCCUGCCCCGUGUCCCUGGCCCCAUGUGCAGGUCUCACUCCCAGCAGAAGGGCUAAAACUUGUUGAAAAUCCCAGAGUGCCACAGAAAUGCCCUAAAUCAGGACAAGCUCCAUCGCUGGCUCAGGGACAGCCCCAAAACAUGGAGUCCCCAGUGGUGUCAGGUCACCUGAGGCACAGCACAGUGCAGUGAGGUGUGAAGGGGCUCUCUCUGGAAAGCCAAACACAUGGGGAGACCCCCACCACCCUACUCGAGGCUGUACAGAGCCCUUUCACGGUGCCAAAUGUGUCUUUUUAAGCAUUUCUCUCACAAACUCUACUCUGCUGGGUUGAGGGGCAAGACAGUCUCCAAGGAAGAGCCUCUUCCCCCUUUCACCCUGUUCAGAGCAUGGGAGAUGGAAAGCUCAGAGCAAUGGCAGAGGACAAGCCUGCAGAGCAGAGCCUGAUGAGCUGUCUGUGACCUUGUGGCUCCUGCUGGGGCUGGACACAACUCAGUGCACACAUGGCUCAGGACCGAGCAAGGUCCUUGUCACCGAAGGUCUCACAGCACCCAGGGCUGAUCCCCAGCUCCAGCGGGGCCGGGCUGUCCCGAGCACAGGGCCGGACGUCCCCAGGGUCUCGCAGGGGAAUCUCAUGGGCCUGCUCAGGUCACAGUGCCCAGCUGACCCUGCCACCAGAACAACCUCAUUUCAGCCUCGGAAAUGUCACCUUUCGUGUCCCUUUGGGCCAAGCAAAGGCACAUUCAUCACUUCACUCUCCAUCAUUUCCCUCUCCUCCCCAUCACCGCAGUUCCACCUUGGUGCUGCGGGAUGCCACAGCUCUUCCCCACACUUGACCGGUAUUUUGUGUUACUCAGGUCGUAUCUCCUCCUGCCCACAGGGUCCUGCCCCACGGCUGCGCCCUGUGCCCCGUCCCCCAUGCUCCCUGUGCUGGCUGCCCCAGGGCUGGUCCCUCCACGCCCCCACGGCCACCGAGUGUGGCAUCGCCGGAUUCCGUGCCCGGCACGGCACCGGAGCAGAGGAGCCGGAGCCGGAGGCACUAGGGGGAGAUAAAGGCCGGGACAUGCCGGGCCCUGCGCCCUCGCCAGCCCCUCCUGUCCCCUUGUCCCCAGGGCCACCCUGGUCCCGGCUACUGGCGGGGACAAAGAGGAGAGCUGCAGGUUUCCGCCUGUCACAGUCCCGUUGCUUUGCGGGGUCUUUCCUGGCAUCUUCGGUCUCUGGGAAGCACCUCUGGCAACGAGAGGCCUUACGGCAUUUACAUCUUCAUGCAGCAGGUAUAACAGCAAGAAACCACCUUUUCCCACGUGCAAAGAGCACAGGGGCACCCCAAAAACUCACCCAGGAGGAAGGAGAACAGCAUACAGCACCCAGACCAGGGGCCAGCAGGGAAGGAGGGGUCUGGGGACCCAGCCUGGAAGCAGAGAGUGACACACACUGCUGAGCUGAGCUGGAAGCUCAGCCUGUUGUUGCCCCAACUCCCCUUUCCCAAUGCCCCUCAGGUGCACUUGGCAUUGGCACAGCCAUGACAGCCUUCACAGGACCCCAGCACCAGCAAACUGGGCACCUCCAGGGCUAAAACCAUUCCAGGGGACAUCUGGCUCUAGGCACCACCCCGAUAUCACACCAGCUCCUCUCUUCCCAUGGAUGUUCCCUUCUACAGGGGCUCCCUGCAGCCCCUCUCACCAGAGAUGGGAGGAUUUCAGAUGGGCAGAGUUUGGGGGAGGUCCCAGGAGACAAAGAGCCAAACCAGCAGGACCUGUCCCCAGCAGAGUUGUUUGUGCCCAGCUGGGUCACACAGGGCCCUGUGGGUGCAGCCCUGGCUCCCGUGUCAUGAAUUGGUGCCAGAUGCUGGGCAGGCACAGUGCGAGGGCAGCUCCGUGGGCAGGAGCCAUGUGAGGGGGGCACUUCUCCCUUGUAUCUUCUAUGGAUUAGAAAGAAAAGUUACAUCUUACCCCGUUUUUCCAGUGUGACUGGCACAGAGUUAACCCAAAUACUACUGAUAAACGUUUUUAUGUUGCCUGUGAUGCCAUCAAUCCAUAGUGCCCUUGGGACCUGGGCUCACCAGGCACAUCCCUGAGCUCCCCCUAAAAAACCCACACAGCACCUGCCCCCAAACCACCAACCUACCCCAAACUUGUGUUUUCUCUCCCACUCUCCAGUUUGGUCACAUCGUGGUACCGCUUCCCCUGCAGCCACAUCUCUGAUUUGCUCAUAUUCACAGUUACUUACAGCUCCAGCUCCACAGUUCUCAAUACCCUCACUCUUGAACUUCCCAUCUGCCGGCGCUGGAGGGGAACAGGGCGGCUGGUAACGCAAUCGGGAUGUUGGCCUCGGACCAGGAGGCUGGAUGCAGAGGGAGGAAGGCAGAGGGGUGCCUGGGGCAGGGUGUCAUCUGAGCCCCUGCGGGAACAGGGUGUCUUUGCCUCGAUAUGAGCUGGCAAGAGCGAGAGGAGGGAAGGAGAUCCUCCGUCAGCACUUUGCUAUGCGCCGCACUCCCUGUCCCCCACUCCCGGGACACACGGACUCACCGCUGCGGUGGCAGCACACCCAUACCCAGGGCUGCUCAUCCUGGCUCCUUGCUCCCUCCCAGGCCUGGAAAGUUUCACGGCUUCGUUACAAACACACGCUCAAAGAGCAGAGACUGGGUGCGUCAGUGCUUUUCCCGUGCUGUGAGGUGAGGGAGGUGCACACGGGAGCACCCCAUGGCUCACCCCGUGUGCCGAGUGUGCUGACAGAGGCGGCUCUGGCACGAUGCUGUGGAUAUGAAAGAGCUGCAGAUUUGUGCUCAGCCCCCAGCACAGCCCCUAAACCUUUUGGAGGCUCUUGUGCAAGUCUGGGGUUUGCACUGUCUCUUAGCCAGUAGCAGAUACCCGUGGAUUUGCAGCAGUUUUACCUGGAAGUAAAGGCUUAUUUUUUCUGGUAUUUUUCAAUAACAUUAAAUAAAGACAAAGGGAUUGCCUGGGAUUGCUUGUGGCACCCAAAUCAGG